Molecule: ribosomal RNA, 894 nt
Filed under: uncultured bacterium
Lineage: Bacteria
Description: bacterial SSU rRNA
Rfam family: Bacterial small subunit ribosomal RNA
Source: RNAcentral
AGAGUUUGAUCCUGGCUCAGGACGAACGCUGGCGGCGUGCUUAACACAUGCAAGUCGAGCGGUAAGGCCCUUCGGGGUACACGAGCGGCGAACGGGUGAGUAACACGUGAGCAAUCUGCCCUUCACUCUGGGAUAGCCUCGGGAAACUGAGAUUAAUACCGGAUACGACCACUUCAGGCAUCUGAUGGUGGUGGAAAGUUCCGGCGGUGAAGGAUGAGCUCGCGGCCUAUCAGCUUGUUGGCGGGGUAAUGGCCCACCAAGGCUUCGACGGGUAGCCGGCCUGAGAGGGUGACCGGCCACACUGGGACUGAGACACGGCCCAGACUCCUACGGGAGGCAGCAGUGGGGAAUAUUGGACAAUGGGCGAAAGCCUGAUCCAGCAACGCCGCGUGAGGGAUGACGGCCUUCGGGUUGUAAACCUCUUUCAGCAGGGACGAAGCGCAAGUGACGGUACCUGCAGAAGAAGCACCGGCCAACUACGUGCCAGCAGCCGCGGUAAUACGUAGGGUGCGAGCGUUGUCCGGAAUUAUUGGGCGUAAAGGGCUCGUAGGCGGUUUGUCACGUCGGGAGUGAAAACUCGGGGCUCAACCCCGAGCCUGCUUCCGAUACGGGCAGACUAGAGGUAUGCAGGGGAGAACGGAAUUCCUGGUGUAGCGGUGAAAUGCGCAGAUAUCAGGAGGAACACCGGUGGCGAAGGCGGUUCUCUGGGCAUUACCUGACGCUGAGGAGCGAAAGUGUGGGGAGCGAACAGGAUUAGAUACCCUGGUAGUCCACACCGUAAACGUUGGGCGCUAGGUGUGGGACUCAUUCCACGAGUUCCGUGCCGCAGCUAACGCAUUAAGCGCCCCGCCUGGGGAGUACGGCCGCAAGGCUAAAACUCAAAGGAAUUGACGG